Molecule: ribosomal RNA, 395 nt
Filed under: uncultured bacterium
Lineage: Bacteria
Description: partial 16S ribosomal RNA
Rfam family: Bacterial small subunit ribosomal RNA
Source: RNAcentral
CCUACGGGUGGCAGCAGUGAGGAAUAUUGGUCAAUGGACGAGAGUCUGAACCAGCCAUGCCGCGUGCAGGAAGACGGCUCUAUGAGUUGUAAACUGCUUUUGUACGAGGGUAAACGCAGAUACGCGUAUCUGUCUGAAAGUACCGUACGAAUAAGGAUCGGCUAACUCCGUGCCAGCAGCCGCGGUAAUACGGAGGAUUCAAGCGUUAUCCGGAUUUAUUGGGUUUAAAGGGUGCGUAGGCGGUCGGAUAAGUUAGAGGUGAAAUGCCGAGGCUCAACCUCGGAAUUGCCUCUGAAACUGUUCGGCUAGAGAGUAGUUGCGGUAGGCGGAAUGCAUGGUGUAGCGGUGAAAUGCUUAGAGAUCAUACAGAACACCGAUUGCGAAGGCAGCUUACC